GCGUGAGUGAUGAAGGCCUUAGGGUUGUAAAGCUCUUUUACCAGGGAUGAUAAUGACAGUACCUGGAGAAUAAGCUCCGGCUAACUCCGUGCCAGCAGCCGCGGUAAUACGGAGGGAGCUAGCGUUGUUCGGAAUUACUGGGCGUAAAGCGCGCGUAGGCGGUUUUUUAAGUCAGAGGUGAAAGCCCAGUGCUCAACACUGGAACUGCCUUUGAAACUGGAAAACUUGAAUCUUGGAGAGGUCAGUGGAAUUCCGAGUGUAGAGGUGAAAUUCGU
RNAcentral lists this ribosomal RNA (275 nucleotides) under uncultured bacterium. RNAcentral describes it as "partial 16S ribosomal RNA". It matches the Rfam family "Bacterial small subunit ribosomal RNA", at positions 399 to 691 of the family's 1533-position model. The record is from RNAcentral.